Molecule: unclassified non-coding RNA, 758 nt
Filed under: Hevea brasiliensis (rubber tree)
Lineage: Eukaryota; Viridiplantae; Streptophyta; Magnoliopsida; Malpighiales; Euphorbiaceae
Source: RNAcentral
UACAAUAGGUAACUAUAGAGUAAAUUAGUAUUUGAUGAUAGGAUAAUUAGAUUUAAAAAAAGAUGUAUAUGAACUAGUUCUUAUACAAGAGGUUGAGAACGUAAAAUGAGUGAUAUGCCUUAAGAGGAUCUCCUACUUGAUUGCUUCAAAUAUCAUUAUCCAGGCCAGAAAUAUUGACGUCUCCAUCGGUGUUGUUUGGUUUAGGAGGAUGAGAUUCGAUGGGUAUACCGCGUCUCUCAGGUGGGGGUGAUCGGUCAUCAUCAAAGACGCGAGGAAUACUGAAUGCACCAAAGAAGCCAUUCUUUAUCUCCUCGGCUGCUUCAAAGAAACGAUCAAGUUCACUGAAGAAGCUUCGUUCAAUAUUCUCAAUAUCACUACGCAGCCCAGGGAAGUCAAAAGGCACACUUGACGACUCUAUAGAAUGUGAAUCAUUUGUCAUUUGGUCCGUGACAUCUUCCUCUGAGUAUUCUUUAUUAGACUCCACUAUCUCAGAAGGCCUCCCAAUGCAAUCCUUGAAAGUUUGCUCAGCCUUUUCGCACUUUCUGAUGAACUUUCCGGGCUCAGUCUCUUCGGUUCGGCACCGAGUGCUCACAACCUUCCUGGUAGCGCACCGUUCACCGCCGUCACCAUCGCUGCCGGAGGAUGAUCUAGGGUUUCCAAAAUCCUUGACGGCGCUAAAAUCAUCGGCGCCGGAAUGCUUAGGCUCGUCGUUGAUCCACACCCAACCCAUUGCUCUUCGAUUUGCUUCAAUUGCUUGG